GCUUCCUUGGCUCAGUUGGCUAGAGCGCGAGUCUCAUACUACUUGUAUGAGGUCAGUACAUGACUAUAAUCUCGAGGUCGCAAGUUCGAGCCUUGCAGGGAGCA
Molecule: transfer RNA, 104 nt
Filed under: Lentinula raphanica
Lineage: Eukaryota; Fungi; Basidiomycota; Agaricomycetes; Agaricales; Omphalotaceae
Description: tRNA-Met
Rfam family: tRNA
About the family: Transfer RNA (tRNA) molecules are approximately 80 nucleotides in length.
Source: RNAcentral